UAUUUAGAAAACCAUUUCUUAUUGUGUAAGUACAUUGAUUCAUAUUUGACAUUGGUUUUUAUUUUUGAUUGUUUCUUGAUGGUGGAGAACUUCAUCUUCACGGCACUGAGUUUUUCUAGUACGGAGAUUCCUUCUGCUGUCGGGUGGUUUGUCUUUUCUUGGAUCACAGGGCUUUUUGGGUCCCAGACUAGCUCUUAGCUUUGACUUUUGGAUCAGGAUUCCUGUGCUCUGAGGAUAAGGUAAAUGUGCUACGCCACCCCUACAGAGGAAAGGCCGUGGAAGACUUUAGGAGACCCCAUUUUGGGAACAUAAUCACUCUGAAUGAAGAAACUAAAGGAAAUAAAGUGUGGUAUAUUUGGAGGAAGUAGGAUUGGGAUGAGGUAAAGUCUUUUAUGUGCUAAAAACAAGAUUGCCCUGUGACUUCUUGAUGAAGGCAAGUCAUCAUAAAUGCUUAAACCAUUUGACUUAAUAUUUUUGUGUGUGUGAGUGAGGAAGAUUGGCCCUGAGCUAACAUCUGUUGCCAAUCCUCUUUUUGCUGAGGAAGACUGGCCCUGAGCUAACAUCUGUGCCCAUCUUCCUCUGUUGUGUAUGUGAGGCAUGAUCACAGCAUGGCUUGAUGAGCGGCGACUCCAUCCACGCCUGGGAUCUGAACCUGUGAACCCUGGGCUGCUAAAGUGGAGUGCAUGAGCUUAACCACUAUACCACUGGGCUGGCCCCAACUUAAUAUUUAAUAAGGAUGUACCUUUAACUUAUAUCAAUCCACCCUAGUUCUGAGCUCAAUUUCUUUUUGACUCAUUUAUUUUUCUCACGUCCUGAAAGAGGAAGGGUGGAAGCUCUCUAUGAAAGCAGGCCAAGUGUAUCCUUGAUAUUCGUACUUCCAAAGGCAGGCAGGAACCUCUCUAGAACAACUCCUACGUCCUUUCAGCACAGCUCCAGAGUCCUUGAAAUUAUUCUUGUUUUACUCCAGAUCAAUCCUGAGGUUCUCUCCACCCAAGACAUGGAGUCAGCUACUCUCCCAGGAGUCCUGUUUCAUUAUAG
This 1038-nucleotide long non-coding RNA is filed under the name Equus caballus (horse). RNAcentral's name for it is "lncRNA (ENSECAG00000060148.1)". Lineage: Eukaryota; Metazoa; Chordata; Mammalia; Perissodactyla; Equidae. The record is from RNAcentral.